CCCCUGCCCAGACCCCGUGCUUCCCGCCCAGGGCGCCACGGAGGGUGCUGGGGACAGGCGACUCGGCGUGCCCGACAAACGUGACCCAAGACACACACUGCCCAUUUCGAAAUUGUUUUCAGUGGCAAACGCAAACAGAAGAGGCUGCGGCUGCGCUCAGAGCAGCGGUCCCUGGUGCCAGGUCAGGGGGACUCGGGUCAGGAGGGCAGGGCAACCGGGGCACCAGGAGGUCAGGGGACCCUCAAGACAACAGGACACUGGGGUGUUCUCCAGGAGGCCGCACCUGGCUCACACGGCGGGACUCGGAACCAACUGUCCCCACUGUGGCCCUCACCUGGCAUCUGGAAAAGGAGAGACGGCACCAGGAGAGGUUUUUUAAAGUGCUCUUUACUAUGAAACGUUAAGAGGCUGGUCAAGGGGCGCCCGGGGGACUCAGGGGUUGAGCAGCUGCCUUGGGCCCAGGGCAUGACCCGGGGGGCCCAGGAUCGAGUCCCGCAUCGGGAUCCCCACGGGGAGCCUGCUUCUCCCUCUGCCUGUGUGUCCGCCUCUCUCAUGAAUAAAUAAAUUAAAUACUUAAAAAAAAAAAAAGAGGCGGGUUGGGUGGGCCCCAGCUUCUCGCCUGCCCCCCUCCGUCCCCCUCCCAGAAAUGCUGGCCAUGGGGGAGCUCACCGUGGCGGUGGCAGCACCGCUAGUGCCGGGGCUGGGCACCACCAGCAAGGCAGGCCAGGUCCCAGCAGACCCUCGGGGCCGCCUGGCGGUUCUGACGCCCACCCUCUGAGGGCUGGGAAGGACUGUCCCCAGCACCAAGGACACUGUGGGUCACACGUGGCUCCCUACUCGGGACACGGGGGCAUGGGGACGCAGGCCUCACCCUGGGUGCCUGGUGGGAUGAUGGUCUCCACUCCUGUAGCUUGCGGUGAAUAUGCACGAGGAUGCCAGGUCCGGCGCCACAGGAAACCCGAGCACACACACAGGUGUACCUGGGAGCCCACCAGGUGGAAACCCCCGGGGCCUCCGCCCACACAUGUGCGCUCCGCCCUGCAUCUGCGCCACACAGGCAGCAGGUGCAGGCCGAGCACCGGUGGAUCCACGCCCCUGCCUGGCCUGUGGGCGGCGCCGCGGGUGCUUCUGGGCGCAGGCUUCCUGCGGCAGCUGCUUCCUUGUGCAGAGGCGGGAUGGCGCUCAGGGCUCAGGGCACAGGGGCUAGACCUGUAAGCAGCAACGGAGAUCCAUACACGUUUCCUGCGUUGAGCGACGCCGAGGAAGAUGAGGCUCCUUCCUUGACGAUGGGUCAGCAGCGCUGGGGAGAGGCGGUAAAGCACAGCACCCCGCAGGAAGGCUCCCCCCGCCUGCGCAGGCGGCCGCCGGGCGAGGUCCCCUCCCGCCAGGGCGAGGGCCCCGAGCCCUGGUCCCGGCGGCCUGCGCGCGCCCCCCGGAGCACCCCAUCCCUCCGGGCAGGGCCUGGGCGCUCGGCCCCCCUGCAGACCCCGCGGCUCUCCAACGGCCGGGCCUCCAGGGCGGCUCGCGGGCAGCCAGGGCCCCGCUCAGGGCACCCCGCUCCCAAGGAGGACCCGCCCGCACAGGCCUCGGUCACGCGGCAGCAGCACGCGGAGUCCUGCGCACCAAGGAGCUGGCCUGGCCCCACGGGGCUGCCCGGGAUCCCAAGCGCGGCCAGGAGGAGGCGGAGGGACCCGGAGAAGAUGGCAGCCGAGAGGGAGCGCGUGCGCCAGUGGGAGGCCCGCCAGCUUUGGGACAUCGAGGAGGCCACUCAGCAUGAGCUCACCCUCCAGGACGAGUGA
This 1799-nucleotide long non-coding RNA is filed under the name Canis lupus familiaris (dog). Its description in RNAcentral is "lncRNA (ENSCAFG00040007985.1)". The record is from RNAcentral. Lineage: Eukaryota; Metazoa; Chordata; Mammalia; Carnivora; Canidae.